AUUGAACGCUGGCGGCAGGCCUAACACAUGCAAGUCGAGCGGAGCGGCGGACGGGGGCGUAAUGCCUAGGAAUCUGCCUGGUAGUGGGGGAUAACGUUCGGAAACGGGCGCUAAUACCGCAUACUAUCAGAUGAGCCUGGGUCGGAUUAGCUAGUUGGUGGGGUAAAGGUCUACCAAGGCGACGAUCCGUACCUGGUCUGAGAGGAUGAUCAGUCACACUGGAACUGAGACACGGUCCAGACUCCUACGGGAGGCAGCAGUGGGGAAUAUUGGACAAUGGGCGAAAGCCUGAUGCAGCCAUGCCGCGUGUGUGAAGAAGGUCUUCGGAUUGUAAAGCACUUUAAGUUGGGAGGCGUUACCAGCAGAAUAAGCACCGGCUAACUUCGUGCCAGCAGCCGCGGUAAUAC
This 407-nucleotide ribosomal RNA is filed under the name uncultured bacterium. RNAcentral describes it as "partial 16S ribosomal RNA". It matches the Rfam family "Bacterial small subunit ribosomal RNA", at positions 30 to 526 of the family's 1533-position model. The record is from RNAcentral.